GGGUUGUGAGGUUAAGCGACUAAGCGUACACGGUGGAUGCCCUGGCAGUCAGAGGCGAUGAAGGGCGUGCUAAUCUGCGAUAAGCGCCGGUAAGGUGAUAUGAACCGUUAUAACCGGCGAUACCCGAAUGGGGAAACCCAGUGUGAUUCGUCACACUAUCAUUAACUGAAUCCAUAGGUUAAUGAGGCGAACCGGGGGAACUGAAACAUCUAAGUACCCCGAGGAAAAGAAAUCAACCGAGAUUCCCCCAGUAGCGGCGAGCGAACGGGGAGGAGCCCAGAGCCUGAAUCAGCAUGUGUGUUAGUGGAAGCGUCUGGAAAGGCGCGCGAUACAGGGUGACAGCCCCGUACACAAAAGCGCAUGUGCUGUGAGCUCGAUGAGUAGGGCGGGACACGUGGUAUCCUGUCUGAAUAUGGGGGGACCAUCCUCCAAGGCUAAAUACUCCUGACUGACCGAUAGUGAACCAGUACCGUGAGGGAAAGGCGAAAAGAACCCCGGCGAGGGGAGUGAAAAAGAACCUGAAACCGUGUACGUACAAGCAGUGGGAGCACCCUUUGGGUGUGACUGCGUACCUUUUGUAUAAUGGGUCAGCGACUUAUAUUCUGUAGCAAGGUUAACCGAAUAG
This 625-nucleotide ribosomal RNA is filed under the name Salmonella enterica subsp. enterica serovar Enteritidis. RNAcentral's name for it is "partial 23S ribosomal RNA". It matches the Rfam family "Bacterial large subunit ribosomal RNA", at positions 1 to 657 of the family's 2925-position model. Lineage: Bacteria; Pseudomonadati; Pseudomonadota; Gammaproteobacteria; Enterobacterales; Enterobacteriaceae. The record is from RNAcentral.